CUUUCCCUCCAGCGUGGAGCCUGAGUAGGGCGGCACACGUGAAAUUCCGUUGGAAUCCGGGGGGAUGCUCGCACAAGGCGUAAUACUCCCUAGUGACCGCUAGUGAACCAGUACCGUGAGGGAAAGGGGAAAACCUCUCCGGAAGGGCAGUUACACAGUUCAUGAAACCGGGUGCCUACAAGUAGUUAGAGCCCGUUAAUGGGUGAUAGCGUGCCUUUUGUAGAAUGAACCGGCGAGUUACGAUUUGUUGCAAGG
RNAcentral lists this ribosomal RNA (255 nucleotides) under Listeria monocytogenes. RNAcentral describes it as "partial 23S ribosomal RNA". It matches the Rfam family "Bacterial large subunit ribosomal RNA", at positions 388 to 645 of the family's 2925-position model. The record is from RNAcentral. Lineage: Bacteria; Bacillati; Bacillota; Bacilli; Caryophanales; Listeriaceae.